GGAGGGAGCGCGAGGGAGCGGGACGGCGGAGUGUCAAUAACUUGUCCGUGCCCUCCCACCUCCACCCCGAGCCAGACCCGGGCCCGGCGAGCUCAUCGGCAGGCCGGCAGGCAUUCCCUCCGCUCUACACCAGACCCGCGGCGGCCGCCACAACAUCGCGACACGGAGGCGGGAGCACACACUCGCACACUCGCCGCCACGCUACGAGUCCAAGAAGAAGACCGCCCGCACCGCCGCAGCGCCAGCGAGUUCAGCAAGCGGUUCAACAAAGCGCAGAGCGCCGCGCUGGCCAUUCGCCGGCACUCGCCACUUCGCCCCGUCUAGGCCCUAGACCCCGAGGCCCUAGACCCCGAGGCCGCAACCAAGCCCCAACAUGCUGCGACUGCUCACGAGCAAGGCGCGCCACGCCGCGGCGGCGCCCCAGGUGCCGCA
Long non-coding RNA from Thrips palmi, 432 nucleotides. RefSeq lists it as uncharacterized. The transcript has 3 exons. The record is from RefSeq and is a predicted model, not a curated record. NCBI's taxonomy places the organism in Eukaryota, Metazoa, Arthropoda, Insecta, Thysanoptera, Thripidae.